GACGAACGCUGGCGGCGCGCCUAACACAUGCAAGUCGAACGAGCGAGAGAGAGCUUGCUUUCUUGAGCGAGUGGCGAACGGGUGAGUAACGCGUGAGGAACCUGCCUCAAAGAGGGGGACAACAGUUGGAAACGACUGCUAAUACCGCAUAAGCCCACGGUGCCGCAUGGCACAGAGGGAAAAGGAGCCAUCCGCUUUGAGAUGGCCUCGCGUCCGAUUAGCUAGUUGGUGAGGUAACGGCCCACCAAGGCGACGAUCGGUAGCCGGACUGAGAGGUUGAACGGCCACAUUGGGACUGAGACACGGCCCAGACUCCUACGGGAGGCAGCAGUGGGGAAUAUUGCACAAUGGGGGAAACCCUGAUGCAGCGACGCCGCGUGGAGGAAGAAGGUCUUCGGAUUGUAAACUCCUGUUGUUGGGGAAGAUAAUGACGGUACCCAACAAGGAAGUGACGGCUAACUACGUG
This 466-nucleotide ribosomal RNA is filed under the name uncultured bacterium. Its description in RNAcentral is "partial 16S ribosomal RNA". It matches the Rfam family "Bacterial small subunit ribosomal RNA", at positions 28 to 507 of the family's 1533-position model. The record is from RNAcentral.